GCCAGUGUGGUGUAGCGGUUUGAACGUUGGACUACGACUCCUGGAGGCCAGGGUUCGAAUCCCAGCUCGGCCA
Phrynosoma platyrhinos (Desert horned lizard) is the source of this 73-nucleotide non-coding RNA. NCBI's taxonomy places the organism in Eukaryota, Metazoa, Chordata, Lepidosauria, Squamata, Phrynosomatidae. The record is from the annotation of a GenBank genome assembly.